RNAcentral lists this ribosomal RNA (513 nucleotides) under uncultured bacterium. RNAcentral describes it as "partial 16S ribosomal RNA". It matches the Rfam family "Bacterial small subunit ribosomal RNA", at positions 28 to 507 of the family's 1533-position model. The record is from RNAcentral.
GACGAACGCUGGCGGCGUGCUUAACACAUGCAAGUCGAACGAAAAGAGGGAAAGAGCUUGCUCUUUCCGGAAUUGAGUGGCAAACGGGUGAGUAACACGUAAUCAACCUGCCUUCAGGAUGGGGACAACAGACGGAAACGACUGCUAAUACCGAAUAAGUUCCAAGGGCCGCAUGGCCCAUGGAAGAAAAGGUGGCCUCUACCUGUAAGCUAUCGCCUGAAGAGGGGUUUGCGUCUGAUUAGCUGGUUGGAGGGGUAACGGCCCACCAAGGCGACGAUCAGUAGCCGGUCUGAGAGGAUGAACGGCCACACUGGAAUUGAGACACGGUCCAGACUCCUACGGGAGGCAGCAGUGGGGAAUCUUCCGCAAUGGGCGAAAGCCUGACGGAGCAACGCCGCGUGAGUGAUGACGGCCUUCGGGUUGUAAAACUCUGUGAUCCGGGACGAAAAGGCAGAGUGCGAAGAACAAACUGCAUUGACGGUACCGGAAAAGCAAGCCACGGCUAACUACGUG